This 497-nucleotide ribosomal RNA is filed under the name uncultured bacterium. RNAcentral's name for it is "partial 16S ribosomal RNA". It matches the Rfam family "Bacterial small subunit ribosomal RNA", at positions 28 to 507 of the family's 1533-position model. The record is from RNAcentral.
GAUGAACGCUGGCGGCGUGCCUAAUACAUGCAAGUCGAGCGAACGGACGAGAAGCUUGCUUUUCUGAUGUUAGCGGCGGACGUGUGAGUAACACGUGGAUAACCUACCUAUAAGACUGGGAUAACUUCGGGAAACCGGAGCUAAUACCGGAUAAUAUUUUGAACCGCAUGGUUCAAUAGUGAAAGACGGUCUUGCUGUCACUUAUAGAUGGAUCCGCGCUGCAUUAGCUAGUUGGUAAGGUAACGGCUUACCAAGGCAACGAUGCAUAGCCGACCUGAGAGGGUGAUCGCCCACACUGGAACUGAGCCACGGUCCAGACUCCUACGGGAGGCAGCAGUAGGGAAUCUGCCGCAAUGGGCGAAAGCCUGACGGAGCAACGCCGCGUGAGUGAUGAAGGUCUUCGGAUCGUAAAACUCUGUUAUUAGGGAAGAACAUAUGUGUAAGUAACUGUGCACAUCUUGACGGUACCUAAUCAGAAAGCCACGGCUAACUACGUG